Long non-coding RNA from Columba livia (rock pigeon), 1225 nucleotides. RefSeq lists it as uncharacterized. NCBI's taxonomy places the organism in Eukaryota, Metazoa, Chordata, Aves, Columbiformes, Columbidae. The record is from RefSeq and is a predicted model, not a curated record. The transcript has 3 exons.
GGCAGUCCUCAUCUGCAAGGCAUCCCCCCACCAGUCCAGUUUCUCCCCUCCACUGAGUCCUGAGGCUUCAGUAGAAUGAGGGUAACUUGUGUUGAUUCCUUUCCCCCCUAUUUUAAAAAUAUAGCCCCCCUUCUUCCCUGCUUUGCUUUAAUCACUUUAGAACAACCCUGGAGGAGCGAGACUAAGGUAAAUAAAUGUGGGAACCAGGGGAGUUCUUGAACUGUUAAAGAAAUCAAUAUAAAUCACAGAGUAACCUUGCCCUGAUAUCUUCCUUACCACCUCUGAGGCUCUACCUGCCUUUGUCUAACAACAAUCUCAGUUAAUUAGAUAAUUAAUCUAAUUAUCUAAUUAGGUGGAAUUGCUGAUAGCUAUUCCACCUAAUUAGGCCAGUGGCUGUAUCUCAGCAGCAGCAGUUCUUUCUUUCUGGCUAACCCUCCACCUUCUGCCAUGCCUGAAACCAGGCACUGACACAAUUCAUGGCUCUUUGUUUGCUUUAACCAAAACCACCUGGAAAUGAUUUUACAUUUUUUACUUGGGCUUCCCUUGAAUGAAAGCAGGAUGGCCAGUUGGAAAGUAGAAAAGGAAGCUCUCAGCACAAGACUAAUUUUUUUUAGCAAUGAAUGCAGUAAGCUCUUCAGUUUUUUAAUUUCAUUUUCCUGGUGUAAGAUUAAUUUUAGCUCUGAACACAGCAACAUGUUAUGUUUGAAUUGAUCCUAGGGAAACAUAUUGCUCUGAGGCUGGGAAAACAACGUGUGCAGACCCAUCUUUUUCAACGUGAGGACAUGCAGCCCUGAUUUCUGCUAAUGGCAGAAAUUCCUGUCUUGGUGUGUCCAUGUCUGGAAGGAUGAACAGGGAAGUGUUGCCUGCAGGAUGCAGCAUCCCCAAAGCUCCAGCUGGAUCAACACAUGAGCCCACCGGUGGACACCUCACUACUCCAGGAAUCAUCCAUGAAGGUACAGACACCCAAGUAUGGCUUGAAGAGUGUUUAACAAGCUGGAAUCAUCAUCCCCCGUUGCAUAUACGUGACUGAAUGAAGUCAUGCUGUACUUGGGUUGCCAAGCUUCUAACAUGUGACUUUAGAAGUGUUAUUUGCUGAGGAAGGAAGGUUUCCCGGGGAAUUGAUAACAAAGGAUGUAGUAGUUUUUUGGAAAGAAAACAACUUUUGCUAUGAAAAGAAAACAGAAACUCUGAAACUUUUUUUUGAGGAGAUAAAUUGCUUUCUAAA